Molecule: non-coding RNA, 99 nt
Filed under: Clostridium puniceum
Lineage: Bacteria; Bacillati; Bacillota; Clostridia; Eubacteriales; Clostridiaceae
Description: SAM-I sequence
Rfam family: SAM riboswitch aptamer (S box leader)
About the family: The SAM riboswitch is found upstream of a number of genes which code for proteins involved in methionine or cysteine biosynthesis in Gram-positive bacteria.
Source: Rfam by way of RNAcentral
CUCUUAUCAAGAGAGGUGGAGGGAAAGGGCCCUGUGAAACCCGGCAACCUGUAUUAAACAAGGUGCCAAUUCCGUAGAUGUAUUUCUACAAGAUAAGAA